Molecule: long non-coding RNA, 1335 nt
Filed under: Setaria viridis
Lineage: Eukaryota; Viridiplantae; Streptophyta; Magnoliopsida; Poales; Poaceae
Description: long non-coding RNA (SVIR_LNC000857)
Source: RNAcentral
AACAAGGCAGGGUGGUUGUCGUAGGAUGCUUCGAACGUACCCCACUUCAUCUCAAUCGCCUUCUACUUAGCACGGUAAGUUUUGUUGUAGCUGAUCUUGUACUUGAACUUCUCCUCUAUGGCACAGAUAAUGGACUUGGGCUCGAAGCUUGGAUUCUCCACUAUCUGAGGGUACAUGUAUUGAGCAACAAAUUUAGCAGUGAGGUUGCAGUGUGUUCCUUCCAAUUAAGCCAGCAAGCAUUGGUGCUUAACCACUAUAGUCACCUUCCAGUAAUCCUUCCAUUUGCCCUUGUAUGCAUGCAUCCUAAAUGGUCAAUCAUUUCGCACACACCGGACAUCAUACACCUUCGAACUACUCUUUUUCACCCUAAACUGACGCUGCAAACACAAAGUGGACCAUCUCUUAAUAGCCACCUUCACUUCAUCCCCACUUUGGUACACAGCCCCCACGCAUACCUCAUUCUCCCUGUACUCCCAAGAAAUAUUUUCCCCUACAUUGACCUGUAGGGCGGAAUGGUCGUAAUUUGACCAAUUUCGCGGUACAGAAUAAUUGUCUUCCUCAUUGGACGAGUCCUCAUCCACGACACCAUUGGCCUCCCCUCCUUCCAUCUCCAUCUACUCUACUAACUCAGGAAUUUCCUCCCCCUCAUCAGCCUCUCCAUUUGGUUCCCAAGAUGCUACAUCAUGUUCUGCAUCUCCACCUUCUUGUUCUUCGUAAUCAAGUUCUUCGUUUUCACUCGCAUUACUCUGCACAUCUUCUUCCGCUUCAACUUCAUCACCUUCGACUUGUUCUUUAAUAUGAGUGCUAGGUCCACCCUUCAUGAAAAAAUGGAUAUACCAUAUAAUUGGUAAACCUCUUCUCGUGCAACCAUUUAUGUAAGCCCGAUAGUUCGGAGUUCUUUCAAGUGGAUAUAACUUCCAAAAGUUUAUGUCGGGCCGUGUUUUCACUACAACCCUCACAAACACAUCCGCUUGAUAUCUGUCAACACCUAAGUCCCUACAAAGCCACUUGCAUAUGCCCCCCCCCAAGUUCUCUCUCUUGCUCUUGGAACACACUUGGUGAAACAGGCAAAUCCACUCAAAUCAACCCCUUCUGGACCAUAUCUAACUUUCCCGACCCAUAGUACACUUGAAUAUUUACACUAUCUGACAUGCUUGGCAACAUACAUGAAACGGGCAGUCCAAAUUAAUCUUAGCACUAUACAUAAGUUAACUGCAAUAAUGACCUCAAUUGAAUAAACAAACAACUAUGUAACACUAAACCAAGCUUACUAACUAACUUUAUCAUAGGCAUGCACCACAACAAAUAAAUCUAAUAAUGUUACCGAAAAACUAU